CUGCCGGUGAUAAGCCGGAGGAAGGUGUGGAUGACGUCAAGUCCUCAUGGCCCUUACGGGUUGGGCUACACACGUGCUACAAUGGUGGUGACAAUGGGUUAAUCCCCAAAAGCCGUCUCAGUUCGGAUUGGGGUCUGCAACUCGACCCCAUGAAGUCGGAAUCGCUAGUAAUCGCGUAACAGCAUGACGCGGUGAAUACGUUCCCGGGCCUU
Molecule: ribosomal RNA, 212 nt
Filed under: uncultured Rhodobacter sp.
Lineage: Bacteria; Pseudomonadati; Pseudomonadota; Alphaproteobacteria; Rhodobacterales
Description: partial 16S ribosomal RNA
Rfam family: Bacterial small subunit ribosomal RNA
Source: RNAcentral